UCAUCUAAGGGAAAACGUCUACAAGAAUAUCUUUCCCACAUUAAUAAAAUAACGAGCGAGAUUAUAAAGAAAAAGAAGGAGUCAAUGCACAAGGAUAACUUUACCCAGGAAGGAAAAGGUCCAUGUUCAAGAAAAGAUACCAGUUCAUUUCUAGACGUCAUAUUUAAAUCGCUUUACGAGUCCGGAGAAUAUUCGAAG
This 198-nucleotide long non-coding RNA is filed under the name Polistes fuscatus (common paper wasp). RNAcentral's name for it is "uncharacterized LOC122517443". Lineage: Eukaryota; Metazoa; Arthropoda; Insecta; Hymenoptera; Vespidae. The record is from RNAcentral.